RNAcentral lists this ribosomal RNA (88 nucleotides) under Ancistrodes genuflexa. The record is from RNAcentral. Lineage: Eukaryota; Viridiplantae; Streptophyta; Bryopsida; Hookeriales; Saulomataceae.
UGAUACGAUCAGACCAAGGCUACUACACCAGAUCCCAUCAGAACUCUGAAGUUAAGCGCCUUUGGGCCGGAAUAGUACUGGGAUGGGU